RNAcentral lists this ribosomal RNA (468 nucleotides) under uncultured bacterium. RNAcentral's name for it is "partial 16S ribosomal RNA". It matches the Rfam family "Bacterial small subunit ribosomal RNA", at positions 28 to 507 of the family's 1533-position model. The record is from RNAcentral.
GACGAACGCUGGCGGCGUGCUUAACACAUGCAAGUCGAACGGAAAGGCCCUGCUUUUGUGGGGUGCUCGAGUGGCGAACGGGUGAGUAACACGUGAGUAACCUGCCCUUGACUUUGGGAUAACUUCAGGAAACUGGGGCUAAUACCGGAUAGGAGCUCCUGCUGCAUGGUGGGGGUUGGAAAGUUUCGGCGGUUGGGGAUGGACUCGCGGCUUAUCAGCUUGUUGUGGGGGUAGUGGCUUACCAAGGCUUUGACGGGUAGCCGGCCUGAGAGGGUGACCGGCCACAUUGGGACUGAGAUACGGCCCAGACUCCUACGGGAGGCAGCAGUGGGGAAUAUUGCACAAUGGGCGGAAGCCUGAUGCAGCAACGCCGCGUGCGGGAUGACGGCCUUCGGGUUGUAAACCGCUUUCGCCUGUGACGAAGCGUGAGUGACGGUAAUGGGUAAAGAAGCACCGGCUAACUACGUG